GUCCACGCUGUAAACGAUGUCUGCUAGCCGUUGGGAUCCUUGAGGUCUCGGUGGCGCAGCUAACGCGAUAAGCAGACCGCCUGGGGAGUACGGCCGCAAGGUUAAAACUCAAAUGAAUUGACGGGGGCCCGCACAAGCGGUGGAGCAUGUGGUUUAAUUCGAUGCAACGCGAAGAACCUUACCACCCCUUGACAUCCAGAGAACUGUCCAGAGAUGGACGGGUGCCUUCGGGAACUCUGAGACAGGUGCUGCAUGGCUGUCGU
RNAcentral lists this ribosomal RNA (263 nucleotides) under uncultured bacterium. RNAcentral describes it as "partial 16S ribosomal RNA". It matches the Rfam family "Bacterial small subunit ribosomal RNA", at positions 793 to 1055 of the family's 1533-position model. The record is from RNAcentral.